Long non-coding RNA from Lactuca sativa (garden lettuce), 1096 nucleotides. RefSeq lists it as uncharacterized. The record is from RefSeq and is a predicted model, not a curated record. NCBI's taxonomy places the organism in Eukaryota, Viridiplantae, Streptophyta, Magnoliopsida, Asterales, Asteraceae.
UAUAAUUCCUUCCUCAUCUCAUCGCAUAGAUCGGUUCUGAAACAAAAACCUAGCCUUACACUUGCGAUUCCCCACCCCUGUUCCUGCACACUUCCACCGACCCACCGAUCCUGACCUCCGCUUGUUGCUAUUGUUGUCGUUGUCGCACAUAACCACCGACCUCCUCAUACCGCCACUGUCCCUGCCUCCGACUGUCAUUAUCGCACACCAACGUCGACGCUCCGUCGCACCACAAUUGUCGCUGCACUGUACUACCACCGUCGUUGCCCCACACCACCAUCAACGACGCCCUAGAUAAUGACAUUGGAUUUGAGGAGCAUCGUCUUAACCGUAACACUGAUUCUGGGGGGGGCAGCCAGACAUACAGGUGCUAGCAUUGGAUUUGAGGAGCACCGUCUUAAAUUGAAACAGUUGACAGGUGAAGACCCCUCAUUCAUUGAUCUUUAUUAUAAGACACAUCUUACCGCCGAAUCAAAGAAAAUAUAUUUUGGGGGAGAUAAAGAGGCGCCAGUGGAUUUUGUGAAUGAGACAUCUAGGGUGGCGAUCAUAAGUUGUCUUUAUCUUUUUAUAUUUUACUAAUAAUAGUUUUUACUUUUUAGUACAAUAAAAAAAGCUUUCUUUUGGUAUAUUCUAGGAAUCAUAUAACAAAUCCCUAUCUCAAAAAUAUGGUGAUGAUCCAACUCAACAUAAUGUGAAUGAUCCUGAAUUGUGGACCCAAACACAAUUGCUUAGGAAAGGCGGGAAACAAAAAGGUCCUAUCUAUGGGGCAGGAUACUUGGAUCUUCACUUUCUGAUGACGGGUGCAUAUUCUUAUGAGUCAACUUCAGCUUCCGUUGACUUUGCAAAGUCACAACAGGAGGUAAACGAGGUGCGGCAACAAAUGUCAAACAUGCAACAAGCCAUGGAUGAAAAGCAAAGUGAAAUGAAUUUGCAAAUGCAACAAAUGCGAAAUGAAAUGGAAUUGCAAGUGCAACGACAAUUGGUGGCCUUUAUGAAACAAAUCAAUCCGUCCGGUAAUCCACCAAGUAGUUCUUAGUUUUUGUUUUAGAACACUAAAUUAAUGUUAUGUUAUUGACUAGUUCUUAACUAUUGUAAU